AUGAAGAACGCAGCGAAAUGCGAUAAGUAAUGCGAAUUGCAGAAUUCCAGUGAGUCAUCGAAUCUUUGAACGCACAUUGCGCCCUUUGGUAUUCCGAAGGGCAUGCCUGUUCGAGCGUCAUUAUCACCCCUCAAGCCCUCGGCUUGGUGUUGGACGGUUUGGUGGAGGCCCCCUCGGGGGCUCCUGCCCCUCCCAAAGACAAUGACGGCGGCCUCGUUGGACCCCCGGUACACUGAGUUCUUCACGGGACACGUAUCGGACACAUGGGUUUACGGGACACGGUCUGCCUCCCCUCAGGGAGAAUCUUUCUAAGGUUGACCUCGGAUCAGGUAGGGAUACCCGCUGAACUUAAGCAUAUCAAUAAGCGGAGGA
This 372-nucleotide unclassified non-coding RNA is filed under the name soil metagenome. RNAcentral's name for it is "partial contains 5.8S ribosomal RNA, internal transcribed spacer 2, and large subunit ribosomal RNA". The stretch from base 1 to 120 matches the Rfam family "5.8S ribosomal RNA", at positions 36 to 154 of the family's 154-position model. The record is from RNAcentral.